AGUGAACGCUGGCGGCGUGCCUAAUACAUGCAAGUCGAACGGAGUGGCGCACGGGUGGGUAAUGUAUAGCUAAUCUGCCCUAUACUAGAGGACAACAGUUGGAAAAGACUGCUAAUACUCCAUAGUGUAGGAUGAGGCUAUAUUGUAUCAGCUAGUUGGUGAGGUAAUGGCUCACCAAGGCUAUGACGCAUAACUGGCCUGCGGGGAUGAUCAGUCACACUGGAACGGAGGCACGAGUCGGGAUCCUUCGAGAAGCAGCGGUAGGGAGAUUUAGUCAAUGGGGGAGUCCCAAGAGCAGCAACGGGUCGUAAAGUAUGACAAUUUUCGAAGAAUAAACUCAUUUUGUUAGGGAAGCGGUACCUAACGAAUAAGCACCGGCUAACUCCGUGCCAGCAGCCGCGGUAAUAC
This 408-nucleotide ribosomal RNA is filed under the name uncultured bacterium. RNAcentral describes it as "partial 16S ribosomal RNA". It matches the Rfam family "Bacterial small subunit ribosomal RNA", at positions 29 to 526 of the family's 1533-position model. The record is from RNAcentral.